AGCGAACGCUGGCGGCAGGCCUAACACAUGCAAGUCGAACGGAUCCUUCGGGAUUAUUGGCGGACGGUUGAGUAACACGUGGGAACGUGCCCUUUUGUUCGGAACAACUCAGGGAAACUUGAGCUAAUACCGGAUGUGCCCUUCGGGGGAAAGAUUUAUCGCCAUUGGUGCGGCCCGCGUCUGAUUAGCUAGUUGGUUAGGUAACGGCCCACCAAGGCGACGAUCAGUAGCUGGUCUGAGAGGAUGAUCAGCCACACUGGGACUGAGACACGGCCCAGACUCCUACGGGAGGCAGCAGUGGGGAAUCUUGCGAAAUGGGCGAAAGCAUGACGCAGCCAUGACGCGUGAAUGAUGAAGGUCUUAGGAUUGAAAAAUUCUUUCAGCGGGGACGAUAAUGACGGUACCCGCAGAAGAAGCCCCGGCUAACUUCGUG
RNAcentral lists this ribosomal RNA (433 nucleotides) under uncultured bacterium. Its description in RNAcentral is "partial 16S ribosomal RNA". It matches the Rfam family "Bacterial small subunit ribosomal RNA", at positions 29 to 507 of the family's 1533-position model. The record is from RNAcentral.